GAUGAACGCUGGCGGCGUGCUUAACACAUGCAAGUCGAACGAUUAACCCAUCUUCGGAUGGUUAUAAAGUGGCGAACGGGUGAGUAACACGUGACUAACCUGCCUUUCACAUUGGGAUAACUACCGGAAACGAUAGCUAAUACCAAAUACUCCGGCACUUCCGCAUGGUCGUGCCGGGAAAGCUCCGGCGGUGAAAGAUGGGGUCGCGGCCCAUUAGGUAGUUGGUGGGGUAACGGCCUACCAAGCCCGCGAUGGGUAGCCGGGUUGAGAGACUGAUCGGCCACAUUGGGACUGAGAUACGGCCCAG
Molecule: ribosomal RNA, 307 nt
Filed under: uncultured bacterium
Lineage: Bacteria
Description: bacterial SSU rRNA
Rfam family: Bacterial small subunit ribosomal RNA
Source: RNAcentral